This 69-nucleotide transfer RNA is filed under the name Allobates amissibilis. RNAcentral's name for it is "tRNA-Pro". It matches the Rfam family "tRNA". Rfam says of the family: Transfer RNA (tRNA) molecules are approximately 80 nucleotides in length. Their secondary structure includes four short double-helical elements and three loops (D, anti-codon, and T loops). The record is from RNAcentral. Lineage: Eukaryota; Metazoa; Chordata; Amphibia; Anura; Aromobatidae.
CAAGAUAUAAUUUAAUUAGAAUACUAGCUUUGGGGGUUAGUUGUAGGAGUUUAAUUCUCUUUAUCUUGA